AGUGAACGCUGGCGGUAGGCCUAACACAUGCAAGUCGAACGGCAGCACAGUAAGAGCUUGCUCUUACGGGUGGCGAGUGGCGGACGGGUGAGGAAUACAUCGGAAUCUACUUUUUCGUGGGGGAUAACGUAGGGAAACUUACGCUAAUACCGCAUACGACCUACGGGUGAAAGCAGGGGAUCUUCGGACCUUGCGCGAUUGAAUGAGCCGAUGUCGGAUUAGCUAGUUGGCGGGGUAAAGGCCCACCAAGGCGACGAUCCGUAGCUGGUCUGAGAGGAUGAUCAGCCACACUGGAACUGAGACACGGUCCUGACUCCUACGGGAGGCAGCAGUGGGGAAUAUUGGACAAAGGGCGCAAGCCUGAUCCAGCCAUACCGCGUGGGUGAAGAGGGCCUUCGGGUUGUAAAGCCCUUUUGUUGGGAAAGAAAAGCAGCAGGUUAAUACCCCGCUGUUCUGACGGUACCCAAAGAAUAAGCACCGGCUAACUUCGUG
RNAcentral lists this ribosomal RNA (492 nucleotides) under uncultured bacterium. RNAcentral describes it as "partial 16S ribosomal RNA". It matches the Rfam family "Bacterial small subunit ribosomal RNA", at positions 29 to 507 of the family's 1533-position model. The record is from RNAcentral.